AGCGAACGCUGGCGGCAGGCUUAACACAUGCAAGUCGAACGGCAAUAGCAAUAUGUCUUUUGCAUACGGGUGAGGAACGCGGGAGGACGGACCUUUUCAUUCGAAUCAACCCAGUGAAAGGUGUUCAAAUACGGGAUAAGCCCUUACUGGUAAAGAUUUAUCGCCGGAAGAUCGACCGAUGUCUGAGUAGCUAGUUGGUGGGGUAAAGGCCUACCAAGGCUACGAUCCGUAGCUGGUCUGAGAGGAUGAUCAGCCACACUGGAACUGAGACACGGUCCAGACUCCUACGGGAGGCAGCAGUGGGGAAUAUUGGACAAUGGGCGCAAGCCUGAUCCAGCCAUACCGCGUGGUGGAAGAAGGCCUUCGGGUUGUAAAGCCCUUUUGUUGGGAAAGAAAAGCAGCAGGUUAAUACCCCGCUGUUCUGACGGUACCCAAAGAAUAAGCACCGGCUAACUUCGUG
Molecule: ribosomal RNA, 460 nt
Filed under: uncultured bacterium
Lineage: Bacteria
Description: partial 16S ribosomal RNA
Rfam family: Bacterial small subunit ribosomal RNA
Source: RNAcentral